Molecule: ribosomal RNA, 496 nt
Filed under: uncultured bacterium
Lineage: Bacteria
Description: partial 16S ribosomal RNA
Rfam family: Bacterial small subunit ribosomal RNA
Source: RNAcentral
GAUGAACGCUGGCGGCGUGCCUAAUACAUGCAAGUCGAGCGAACAGAUGAGGAGCUUGCUCCUCUGACGUUAGCGGCGGACGGGUGAGUAACACGUGGAUAACCUACCUAUAAGACUGGGAUAACUUCGGGAAACCGAGCUAAUACCGGAUAAUAUAUUGAACCGCAUGGUUCAAUAGUGAAAGACGGUUUUGCUGUCACUUAUAGAUGGAUCCGCGCCGCAUUAGCUAGUUGGUAAGGUAACGGCUUACCAAGGCAACGAUGCGUAGCCGACCUGAGAGGGUGAUCGGCCACACUGGAACUGAGACACGGUCCAGACUCCUACGGGAGGCAGCAGUAGGGAAUCUUCCGCAAUGGGCGAAAGCCUGACGGAGCAACGCCGCGUGAGUGAUGAAGGUCUUCGGAUCGUAAAACUCUGUUAUUAGGGAAGAACAAAUGUGUAAGUAACUAUGCACGUCUUGACGGUACCUAAUCAGAAAGCCACGGCUAACUACGUG